RNAcentral lists this ribosomal RNA (390 nucleotides) under uncultured bacterium. Its description in RNAcentral is "bacterial SSU rRNA". It matches the Rfam family "Bacterial small subunit ribosomal RNA", at positions 28 to 419 of the family's 1533-position model. The record is from RNAcentral.
GACGAACGCUGGCGGCGUGCUUAACACAUGCAAGUCGAGCGGUAAGGCCCUUUCGGGGGUACACGAGCGGCGAACGGGUGAGUAACACGUGGGUGACCUGCCCUCAGCUCUGGGAUAAGCCUGGGAAACCGGGUCUAAUACUGGAUAUGACUCCAUGACGCAUGUUGUGGGGUGGAAAGCCUUGUGCGGCUGAGGACGGGCCCGCGGCCUAUCAGCUUGUUGGUGGGGUGAUGGCCUACCAAGGCGACGACGGGUAGCCGGCCUGAGAGGGCGACCGGCCACACUGGGACUGAGACACGGCCCAGACUCCUACGGGAGGCAGCAGUGGGGAAUCUUGCGCAAUGGGCGAAAGCCUGACGCAGCGACGCCGCGUGAGGGAUGACGGCCUGG